AUUGAACGCUGGCGGCAGGCCUAACACAUGCAAGUCGAGCGGAUGAAGGGAGCUUGCUCCUGGAUUCAGCGGCGGACGGGUGAGUAAUGCCUAGGAAUCUGCCUGGUAGUGGGGGAUAACGUCCGGAAACGGGCGCUAAUACCGCAUACGUCCUGAGGCAGAAAGUGGGGGAUCGUCGGACCUCACGCUAUCAGAUGAGCCUAGGUCGGAUUAGCUAGUUGGUGGGGUAAAGGCCUACCAAGGCGACGAUCCGUAACUGGUCUGAGAGGAUGAUCAGUCACACUGGAACUGAGACACGGUCCAGACUCCUACGGGAGGCAGCAGUGGGGAAUAUUGGACAAUGGGCGAAAGCCUGAUCCAGCCAUGCCGCGUGUGUGAAGAAGGUCUUCGGAUUGUAAAGCACUUUAAGUUGGGAGGAAGGGCAGUAAGUUAAUACCUUGCUGUUUUGACGUUACCAACAGAAUAAGCACCGGCUAACUUCGUG
This 484-nucleotide ribosomal RNA is filed under the name uncultured bacterium. RNAcentral's name for it is "partial 16S ribosomal RNA". It matches the Rfam family "Bacterial small subunit ribosomal RNA", at positions 30 to 507 of the family's 1533-position model. The record is from RNAcentral.